AUUGAACGCUGGCGGCAGGCCUAACACAUGCAAGUCGAGCGGUAGAGAGAAGCUUGCUUCUCUUGAGAGCGGCGGACGGGUGAGUAAUGCCUAGGAAUCUGCCUGGUAGUGGGGGAUAACGUUCGGAAACGGACGCUAAUACCGCAUACGUCCUACGGGAGAAAGCAGGGGACCUUCGGGCCUUGCGCUAUCAGAUGAGCCUAGGUCGGAUUAGCUAGUUGGUGAGGUAAUGGCUCACCAAGGCGACGAUCCGUAACUGGUCUGAGAGGAUGAUCAGUCACACUGGAACUGAGACACGGUCCAGACUCCUACGGGAGGCAGCAGUGGGGAAUAUUGGACAAUGGGCGAAAGCCUGAUCCAGCCAUGCCGCGUGUGUGAAGAAGGUCUUCGGAUUGUAAAGCACUUUAAGUUGGGAGGAAGGGUUGUAGAUUAAUACUCUGCAAUUUUGACGUUACCGACAGAAUAAGCACCGGCUAACUCUGUGCCAGCAGCCGCGGUAAUACAGAGGGUGCAAGCGUUAAUCGGAAUUACUGGGCGUAAAGCGCGCGUAGGUGGUUUGUUAAGUUGGAUGUGAAAUCCCCGGGCUCAACCUGGGAACUGCAUUCAAAACUGACUGACCAGAGUAUGGUAGAGGGUGGUGGAAUUUUCUGUGUAGCGGUGAAAUGCGUAGAUAUAGGAAAGGACACCCCGGGGCGAAAGCGACCACCUGGACCAAUACUGACCUGAGGUGCGAAAUCGUGGGUGAGCAAACAGGAUUAUAUACUCUGGUUGUCAAGGGCAAAUCCACAGU
This 790-nucleotide ribosomal RNA is filed under the name uncultured Pseudomonas sp. RNAcentral's name for it is "bacterial SSU rRNA". It matches the Rfam family "Bacterial small subunit ribosomal RNA", at positions 28 to 812 of the family's 1533-position model. The record is from RNAcentral. Lineage: Bacteria; Pseudomonadati; Pseudomonadota; Gammaproteobacteria; Pseudomonadales; Pseudomonadaceae.